AGAAUGAACGCUGGCGGCGUGCUUAACACAUGCAAGUCGAGCGAGGCCAGGGGGGCAACUCCCGGAGUCGAGCGGCGGACGGGUGAGUAACACGUGGGUAACCUACCCGGAAGUGGGGAAUACCUCGGGGGAAACUCGAGCUAAUACCGCAUGACAUCUCGAGGACGAAAGUCCUUUUGAUCAAAGCGGGGCCGCAAGGCCUCGUGCUACCGGAUGGGCCCGCGCCCGAUUAGCUAGUUGGCGAGGUAAUGGCUCACCAAGGCGACGAUCGGUAACCGGCCUGAGAGGGCGAUCGGUCACACCGGAACUGAGACACGGUCCGGACUCCUAGUGGGAGCAGCAGGUGGGGAAUCUUGCGACAAUGGGACGAAAGCCUGGACGCAGCAACGCCGCGUGGAGAUGAAGGCCGUUGGUGUAAACUCCUGUCGCGUGGAAGAACUCGUUCGCGACUAAUACUCGCGGACGUUGACUCGUACAGACGAAAGGAACGCCCGACUAACUC
This 502-nucleotide ribosomal RNA is filed under the name uncultured soil bacterium. Its description in RNAcentral is "bacterial SSU rRNA". It matches the Rfam family "Bacterial small subunit ribosomal RNA", at positions 26 to 503 of the family's 1533-position model. The record is from RNAcentral.